UACGGGGGGGGUAAGCGUUGUUCGGAAUUACUGGGCGUAAAGGGCUCGUAGGCGGCCAACUAAGUCAUACGUGAAAUCCCUCAGCUUAACUGGGGAACUGCGUGUGAUACUGGAUGGCUUGGAUUUGGGAGAGGGAUGCGGAAUUCCAGGUGUAGCGGUGAAAUGCGUAGAUAUCUGGAGGAAGACCGGUGGCGAAGGCGGCAUCCUGGACCAAUAUUGACGCUGAGGAGCGAAAGCCAGGGGAGCAAACGGG
This 253-nucleotide ribosomal RNA is filed under the name uncultured bacterium. RNAcentral describes it as "partial 16S ribosomal RNA". It matches the Rfam family "Bacterial small subunit ribosomal RNA", at positions 524 to 776 of the family's 1533-position model. The record is from RNAcentral.